UACGUAGGGGGCAAGCGUUGUCCGGAAUUAUUGGGCGUAAAGAGCGUGUAGGCGGUCCGGUAAGUCAGCUGUGAAAGUCAAGGGCUCAACCCUUGAAAGCCGGUUGAUACUGUCGGGCUAGAGUCCGGAAGAGGCGAGUGGAAUUCCCGGUGUAGCGGUGAAAUGCGCAGAUAUCGGGAGGAACACCAAUGGCGAAGGCAGCUCGCUGGGACGGUACUGACGCUGAGGCGCGAAAGCGUGGGGAGCGAACAGG
This 253-nucleotide ribosomal RNA is filed under the name uncultured bacterium. RNAcentral's name for it is "partial 16S ribosomal RNA". It matches the Rfam family "Bacterial small subunit ribosomal RNA", at positions 524 to 776 of the family's 1533-position model. The record is from RNAcentral.